GUGGGGGAUAUUGCACAAUGGGGGAAACCCUGAUGCAGCGACGCCGCGUGAGUGAAGAAGUAUUUCGGUAUGUAAAGCUCUAUCAGCAGGGAAGAAGAUGACAGUACCUGACUAAGAAGCCCCGGCUAACUACGUGCCAGCAGCCGCGGUAAUACGUAGGGGGCAAGCGUUAUCCGGAUUUACUGGGUGUAAAGGGAGCGUAGACGGUUAUGUAAGUCUGGAGUGAAAGCCCGGGGCCCAACCCCGGGACUGCUUUGGAAACUGUGUAACUAGAGUACAGGAGGGGCAGGCGGAAUUCCUGGUGUAGCGGUGAAAUGCGUAGAUAUCAGGAGGAACACCGGCGGCGAAGGCGGCCUGCUGGACUGAAACUGACGUUGAGGCUCGAAAGCGUGGGGAGCAAACAGG
RNAcentral lists this ribosomal RNA (405 nucleotides) under uncultured bacterium. Its description in RNAcentral is "bacterial SSU rRNA". It matches the Rfam family "Bacterial small subunit ribosomal RNA", at positions 354 to 776 of the family's 1533-position model. The record is from RNAcentral.